RNAcentral lists this unclassified non-coding RNA (226 nucleotides) under Glomeraceae sp. RNAcentral's name for it is "partial contains 5.8S ribosomal RNA and internal transcribed spacer 2". The stretch from base 1 to 71 matches the Rfam family "5.8S ribosomal RNA", at positions 84 to 154 of the family's 154-position model. The record is from RNAcentral. Lineage: Eukaryota; Fungi; Glomeromycota; Glomeromycetes; Glomerales; Glomeraceae.
GUGAAUCAUCAAAUUUUUGAACGCAAAUUGCGCUUCCUGGCAUCCCGGGAAGUAUGCCUGUUUGAGGGUCAGUAUUACUAAAAAAUAGGUUUAGUUACAAAUUGUGACGUUUCCGGAGUUUGGGAUAUCUUAACAUUUUUGGUUAAGAGGCUUAAAAUUGACCUUUUUUGCGCAUUUUUAUACGUACAUAAAUUUUUUUAUUCGUUCAUUAAUAAUUGCCAAUUCU